Long non-coding RNA from Manis pentadactyla (Chinese pangolin), 3851 nucleotides. RefSeq lists it as uncharacterized. The record is from RefSeq and is a predicted model, not a curated record. The transcript has 3 exons. Lineage: Eukaryota; Metazoa; Chordata; Mammalia; Pholidota; Manidae.
CUGCUUAUUGUUACGGCUGAAAAAAUUUUCCUGGCUUUUUAGAAUCCUAACCUCUAUUUUGUAGAGAAGUAAAAGGAUAAUGGAAUGCUAUUAGAGCCACAGAGAAUUUCCCUCCUUUCCUUUCACCUCUUAUGAUGACAGACGACCUAUGGAUAUAAAAGUGCACUCGAUAUAUAUAUAUAUUUUAAUGAAUAAUAAAGAAAGAGAAUGUUGCCAGCUGCCCAGGAGCUCCCCAUGAUCACACCCAUAUUUCCCUACUGGAAGUGACCACUAUUUUGAUUUCUGGGAUAAUCAUCUCCUUGCUUUUCUCUGUAGUUGUAUUCCAUGUGCACCCUUCAACAGAAUGAAUUUUGUGCUCAUGGAAUCACACUGCAUGUAUGUUGUGUGUGUGGGGGAGUCUUGCAUCUUCUACUCAAUGCUAUGUGUGUGAUGUUCCUCCAAGCUGUAGCUAUUGCUCAGUCAUUCUCAAGGUUGUCCCAGUGCUGACAUGUGACUGUACCACAAUGUAUUUAUCCAGUAGGGAAUAUUUUUUGUACCCAAUGUUUACAGUACAGAACUUAUUGACGUCGAUCAGUCCAACAGAGCUCCUAUUGGAAACAAACUGAAAUGUUAUGUACGGCUCUUUGCGGAAGCCCAAUCUUGAAUCAGCCCAGCCAUCUGUGGUCCUUGGUCCACAUCCAAGCUGCUGAUGGCUGCUAGAGAAAAAUUGCACAACCGAGUGAAUUCACAUCACUGCAGAUCGUGAUCUUCAACCCUAGCUGGGCCCUCAUGAGAGUAAGCAGUUCUAAAUGGCUGAUGGCUGUCAACAGAGAAGGGGAAAUAAGUGGUCAUAUGGAAUCUGAAGACAUCCCUGGUCAUUAUGAUACCACGUAAACGGAAUUCUGUUUCUCUGCGGCUUAGGGCAAAAUAGUUGGACCAUGAUUGUUCUUCAGAGAGAAGAGGAAACUAGUUUACCAGCCUAGUGACACGAUGUGAGCUGUCGUUUUUGCCGGACCUUUGUGUUUUCUAUUGUGGAGGGAGCUCUGGAGGUCUGCAGGAUGAAAGAAUCUCAGGGUGACGUGGGCAAGCUGUCAGGAGAAGAAGACUAGGACAUGGUACCGAUCCAAACGGAGGGCCUGGGAGAGCUUGAUGGGCGGUUACGGACUUCUGGACACUUGACGCGUCCCCCUAAAUGCCUCACUUGUAACUGAAGCGCUACGCCAACAUAACAAGAAAAACACCUAGAACUUUGAACGUUUUGGUGGCUGCGGGAGGGCUGUUAUUAUUCUCAUCUUCUGGAUUUUCAGGUUCAUGUGACCACAUGAAUGUGCAGACAGUUAAAAAAAAAUUUUGUUGCAAAGAAAAGGGAAGCCUCACUCUGCAUAGAAACAUGUUUUGAGCCAUCCUUAUAAAAUGAGUUGUUGGUGCGGUGCUUCGCAUGUUGAGCUCUGCAAGGAAAUGAAUUUUAAAGAGUGACAUAAAGGCUCUCUGUUCUUUCGGCGCAGAAGUUCCUCCCAGAUGAUUUUUCAAGAUGAGUACAAGGAAAAGUGCAUAAUUAUAGCUGUCACUGGAUCAUUUCCUCCUCCAUCUUUGGGGUCUAUUGUUACACGCUCCCAUCAUGUGGACAGCUUUGAUCACGCACCAGUUUCCAAGCGCUCACGCAUCUCCGAGUUCCCCCGCCUGUCAGAGCCUGCUGCCCUCUUACCUGAUGGCGCUGUUGCCCCAUGAUCCGUCGUCCACCCUGAGCUCUGUGAGAACUGCUGAAGUUGUGAUCUAGGAAGGCUGUGCGAUGGGGAAGACUGAAACCUGUCUGUCACCCAUGCUUUGCAGAAACACAACAGAACGCACAAGGCUUGGAUUUUACAACUUGGAUUUUUAUGUGGCUUCCCAGACGGCCUUCAAGAUAUGAAAUUACUCCUCAGUCAUCUCACUGGCCUGAGGGGUGCGGCCUGCGGGUCCCCGGGCAGCCCUUGGGCUGCAUGAAUUCAGCACUAACUGAUUUCCAGGGCCGACGGGUGUGUGCACACCAGAAUGGAUUCAAUGGUGGCUUGAGCCCCAGAGCAGAGCAGAGGACGUAGGACAGCGUCCUAUAUCUGUUUGCCACCUCCCACUUGCGUUUUCUCCUGAGCGGGAAAAUUCAGGGGCUGAGGUACUGGUGGCCAGGUAAAAUCGGGACACCCAGUUACAUUUGAAUUUCAGAUACACGAGGAAGGAUGUUUUACUAUAAGUAUAUCCCACAUAUUGCUUGGAAUAUUUGGAAUGAGUAAAAAGAGUCUCUUAUCUCACCUUUCACUCUUGUAAAGCUGGAGCCUUCAUUGAAAAGUCCAUUCUGUUUAUUCUCUCACUUCGCAUGCCCUUUAGACCUACAGGGGCCAGUGAGGUGGCCAUUAGUCACAAGUGGCUAUCAAGCUCUUGAACUGUGGCUAGUCUGAGUUGUUAAGUGAGGUAGGUUUCUAAGACUUCGUAUGAAGAGAAAAAAAAGAAAGACACUUCCUCCAAAACUUUGUAUGAUGGAGAAGAAAAAAAUGGAUGGUUUCUCAUUAGUAACUUUAGUAUUGAUCGUGUGUUGAAAUGAUACUAUUUUGCACAGACUAGGCUAAAAUAUAUUAUUAAAAUUAACUUGACUUGUUUCUUUGUAAUUUUUAAUAUGGCCACCAAGUAGUUUAGAAUCACAUACGUGGCCUGCAUUAUUUUUCCGUUAGAUAAUACUGCUUUAGAGUAGGGCUGGCACGUGUUUUCUGUACAGGGCCAGACAGUAAGUAUCUCAGGCUUUUUUAGUGGAUAGAGUCUCUGUUGAAAGUUCCCUACUUUGUCCUUGUAGCCUAGACAAUAGGGUGGCUGAGAGCCAGUAAAACUAUUUAUAAAACAGGUAGCGCUUUAUUUGGCCCGUGGGUGUAGUUUGCUGAUCCCCUCUUGAGAGAUGUAGAUUGAUAACUUCUAAAUGUAGUAUCUCCAACGUCUCAGCCUCAUCGAUUUGGACAGAACAAGAACAGAUCUGUAGGUGGACAAUUUACCUUUCUCAAGAUGGCUCAACGGUUGAGUAGCAAAGUACUGACAGGGUAUUGAGUUUUUUUAAUAAAGGAGAAGAGAAACCGGGACUAUUGGCCCUGGUGUGUGGGUGCUGAUUGUAUGAAAGCCGCCUGGAUCCUUGCACAGGGAUGUGGGCGUCUCGUCGUCACCUGUCCUGCAGAGGCCAGGAGAAUCCUGCCUGCAGGUUGUGUCCUGAGUGCUGUCGAAGGAAGGGCUUGCUUCACGCAGGACCCAUUUGAAAAACAGCAGUGCCAUCCAACAGGCAGGCGUUCAAGAGAAGAAACAACAGUUACGUGGGCCUUGGUGCUGGCAAAGCGAAAGGAAUUUUUACAAAAAGCUAUUGAAGUAGUAAAUCGUUUCUCUCACCCAAUUAAAACGUUUUAUCUACCGAGAGUGUGGCAUGAGAGCAUUUGGAAGAACUGACGUCCAUGGGAUCAGAAAAUGUCCUGAAAGGUGAAAGCUGUUCAGGAUCACAUCAAACAAAACAAAACUAAACAAAACAAAAGACACCAGGACAGGUGCUGGUAUAUUUUGUGUGGGUAGGUGGGGGAAUUAGACCCCUCAGCCACGGUUUAUACAUAAACGAGGUGCUUAUGUAUUUUCUGUAUGAUGAGGGAGGUUUAGAGGUACUUCUGGAAUAAAAAGAUCACAAAUGAAAAGUGUAAUCCCAGGAAAUUGCUAAACUAAAGUUUGAUUUGUUACCUAUUUUAUGGUCUUCUUUUCCGUGUUGAGAGAAGCUGGAAAUAAUACAUGUCCUUCUCCAGUUCUGCAGUCCAUGAACUGUGCCCGUGGGUCAAUGUUUAUGCUGAAUUUCAGUUUUCGUUGUUGUUUUUCCUUUUGGU